UGGCGGACGGGUGAGUAAUGUCUGGGAAACGUGCCUGAUGGGGGGGGAUAACUACUGGAAACGGUAGCUAAUACCGCAUAACGUCGCAAGACCAAAGAGGGGGACCUUCGGGCCUCUUGCCAUCGGAUGUGCCCAGAUGGGAUUAGCUAGUAGGUGGGGUAAAGGCUCACCUAGGCGACGAUCCCUAGCUGGUCUGAGAGGAUGACCAGCCACACUGGAACUGAGACACGGUCCAG
This 236-nucleotide ribosomal RNA is filed under the name uncultured bacterium. RNAcentral describes it as "partial 16S ribosomal RNA". It matches the Rfam family "Bacterial small subunit ribosomal RNA", at positions 96 to 334 of the family's 1533-position model. The record is from RNAcentral.